GACGAACGCUGGCGGCGUGCUUAACACAUGCAAGUCGAACGGAAAGGCCCUGCUUUUGUGGGGUGCUCGAGUGCCGAACGGGUGAGUAACACGUGAGUAAUCUGCCCUUGACUUUGGGAUAACUUCACGAAACUGGGGCUAAUACCGGAUAGGAGCUCCUGCUGCAUGGUGGGGGUUGGAAAGUGUCGGCGGUUGGGGAUGGACUCGCGGCUUAUCAGCUUGUUGGUGGGGUAGUGGCUUACCAGGGCUUUGACGGGUAGCCGGCCUGAGAGGGUGACCGGCGACAUGGGGACUGAGAUACGGCCCAGACUGCUACGGGAGGCAGCAGUGGGGAAUAUUGCACAAUGGGCGGAAGCGUGAUGUAGAAGCGCCGCGUGCGGGAUGACGGGCUUUGGGUGGUAAACCGCUUUGGACUGUGACGAAGCGUGAGUGACGGUAAUGGGUAAAAAAGCACCGGCUAACUACGUG
Molecule: ribosomal RNA, 468 nt
Filed under: uncultured bacterium
Lineage: Bacteria
Description: partial 16S ribosomal RNA
Rfam family: Bacterial small subunit ribosomal RNA
Source: RNAcentral